CAUUUGAGCAGGUUGGAAGGAUGUUGGUCCACUGCACGGUGGGGAGUCCACCGUGCACCGUGCAUUCGCUUGUGUGUAUAAUAUUUUACCCUAAAGACCUAAAUGCGCUAAAAAGACACAAGAGUAAAACGCAUUUUAUAAACGCGCUAAUAAUUAAAAGAGUCAUUGAUUUAACAAGGUUUGGUGGUAUCAUCCAACCUAUUAUUACACACAUUCGGUGGCUGACUACUACUCUACUUAUCACCUAUCACGUUUAAACAAAUAGAAGUAUGCCGCGCCAUCUUUAAACUAAGAGAGGGGGUUCGCUUAUUCUAAGAGAAGAGUAAUCCAACCAGUUCUCGUUAUUUCAUCAAACUAAUAAUUUCGAUCUAUCUUCAACUGUCAUCGCGAAUAUUUAAUAACAGUGGAUAACAACAACGUCACAACAACAGCAGCAACGGACAACGAUCUUUUAAAUAAUUUGGAAUACAUUAAAGUUCGGAAUUUUACGGUUGAUCUAAUUGCUUUUGUUAUUUAUUUACUUUUCUUUUUGUUUUCUUUUUUUUUUCUUUUUUUUUCUCGAGGAGAACUUAUAUUAUCAUACUUUCGCAUUCUUUAUACUCUUUUUUCUUCUUACUUUUUCGUUUUUUCUUUUUUUUUUUUGCUAACGGUGAGAGAAGGUGGAACGGGAGUUGUCAAGGUGUCUCGAUCAAGACAGUGCCAAGAAAAAUUUGGAACAAUGUUCGUGUGAAUUCGUCUAAUCCCAUUUGAAGGAUAUUCGAAUAUCAACAUUUUACCGACGGUGACCAUCGGUCGUUCUUAUGUGAACAAUUUGUCAAUGUAGUAGAUAUCAUAUUCGUUUGAAUUUUGUUUCCCCUAUAUAGUUUUUACGUUUGUGGAAUAACAAUGACGAUGUUUAUUCCCGUGAAACAUCCACCCUUCAGUUAUUAAAUAUAUAUAUUAUUUGUGUAUAAACAAAACUCAAUUCGAAUCGAAAAAAGGAAAAAAAGGAAAAUAAUAAUAUCACGAUACCAACGGAAUUAUUGUUGAAAAUCGUUUUCUAAAUUAAUAACGAGUGUCUACGUUUAAAAAAAAUAAUAAUAAGAAGAAGAAGAAGAAGAAAAAGAAGAAGAAGAAGAUGUUUUAAAAUUUUCAACACAACUAUGAAGUCGAAGAGUUUGUUAAGGAACAACAAGGAAGGUUGUGGAUUUAGGGUUUCUUCGUUUUGCUCGUUUUCCGAAGUGUGUCAAGCACCGACGACGACGAAUACGACGACUACGACGACUACGACGACGACGACGGCUUGAUAAAAGUGCACUCGCCACUUUUGGGAAGUCGUCGACGACGGUGUGUGCUGAAAUCGCUUUGCAACUUGCAAGGGAGACUAAUUGGUCCUUGCCUGUUCCAAGGCGCCAAUGAGAAGCCAGCUUUUAUUCAAGCAAACUUUGGUUCAACAUCGGAUACCACCCAAGAUCUGAAUAAUCCUCAGUAUUACUAUCAUCAUCCUCAUCAUUAUCAUUAUUAUCAUCAAAA
RNAcentral lists this long non-coding RNA (1512 nucleotides) under Polistes fuscatus (common paper wasp). Its description in RNAcentral is "uncharacterized LOC122513763". Lineage: Eukaryota; Metazoa; Arthropoda; Insecta; Hymenoptera; Vespidae. The record is from RNAcentral.